AGAGUUUGAUCCUGGCUCAGGACGAACGCUGGCGGCGUGCUUAACACAUGCAAGUCGAACGGUGAAGGAGGAGCUUGCUCUUCUGGACCAGUGGCGAACGGGUGAGUAACACGUGAGUAACCUGCCCUUGACUCUGGGAUAAGCGUUGGAAACGACGUCUAAUACCGGAUACGAGCUGAGACCGCAUGGUCAUCAGUUGGAAAGAUUUUUUGGUCAAGGAUGGACUCGCGGCCUAUCAGCUUGUUGGUGAGGUAAUGGCUCACCAAGGCGACGACGGGUAGCCGGCCUGAGAGGGUGACCGGCCACACUGGGACUGAGACACGGCCCAGACUCCUACGGGAGGCAGCAGUGGGGAAUAUUGCACAAUGGGCGCAAGCCUGAUGCAGCAACGCCGCGUGAGGGAUGACGGCCUUCGGGUUGUAAACCUCUUUUAGUAGGGAAGAAGCGAAAGUGACGGUACCUGCAGAAAAAGCACCGGCUAACUACGUGCCAGCAGCCGCGGUAAUACGUAGGGUGCAAGCGUUGUCCGGAAUUAUUGGGCGUAAAGAGCUCGUAGGCGGUUUGUCGCGUCUGCUGUGAAAACUGGAGGCUCAACCUCCAGCCUGCAGUGGGUACGGGCAGACUAGAGUGCGGUAGGGGAGAUUGGAAUUCCUGGUGUAGCGGUGGAAUGCGCAGAUAUCAGGAGGAACACCGAUGGCGAAGGCAGAUCUCUGGGCCGUAACUGACGCUGAGGAGCGAAAGCGUGGGGAGCGAACAGGAUUAGAUACCCUGGUAGUCCACGCCGUAAACGUUGGGAACUAGAUGUGGGGGCCAUUCCACGGUCUCCGUGUCGCAGCUAACGCAUUAAGUUCCCCGCCUGGGGAGUACGGCCGCAAGGCUA
This 880-nucleotide ribosomal RNA is filed under the name uncultured bacterium. RNAcentral's name for it is "bacterial SSU rRNA". It matches the Rfam family "Bacterial small subunit ribosomal RNA", at positions 8 to 896 of the family's 1533-position model. The record is from RNAcentral.